UUUUUGUUAAUAUGUAUUAUUGAGUGACAGUUUAAGCAUAUCUGGUGCCCAUGUGUGUGGUAUGUAUGCAUGGUUGUACGUGUGGUAUGUCUCUCUGUACAUGUAUGUGUGUGAUGUGGGUGUGUGUUAAAGAAAACCGUUAACUCCCCUUAGGGCAGCACCAGCUGGCAGUCUGCACAGUCCAAGCCCCAGAUCCAAGCCCCACAAGUGUGGAGUCAAGCAGAGUGGCUCUAGAGUUGACAGAUAAUGCUUCAAUGGCCAGCACGAGAACAUAACUUUGCCAAUGGGAACAGCAGGAGCCCCUUUUGACAUGUCAGCCAGCGAGGGAAGAUGGCCGGGGAGCGGCCUCUGAAGCAAAAUUGAGAAUUUCCGAAUUGAAAUGAGAUUGGAAGUUAAAAGGUACACCUUGGAACACUCUCCGUCCAGCGCUGGCCUGCCUUGGGAGUGUAAAGGACAAGUGGGCACAGAAGUCAAGGCAAAGCUGAAGAAUCCAGGAUUCGGAGACUGCUCCCCACACUCAAAAGUGAAGUCGUAGCCAGUCCUUCCAAAACUUAGAGGACGCGAUACUCAGAUUUUGUUAAUGACUCCAAAUUUCAGGGUGGUUGGGGGCAUGAUUUUAGAUGCUUUGUUCGCUGCAGGGAAAAUACUGCUUUUAAAAAUCAGCUGUCUGGUUUAUUUUUCAUAUCUUCUAAACUGGGAGAAAAUGGCCCUCAGGUAAUGAGUGUCUGAAUGCACGUAUGUAUGACUUUCUCCUGAGACCCCAGGAAGACGGUAAGAGAGGGAAUGCUUUUCCCCCUUAGGAAGAGAGGGAUUUUUUAAGUUGGCAUUAGCACGCAAGGAAAGGAUGGGGAGAGGGAAACAAUGGGACUCCUGGUUUUUGCAACACGCUUAGUGGAACUGUUUGACCCUUGAAACCCUGCACCCAUAUAACAGUGACACAAACAAAAGUAACAAAAACAUUUCUUAAAAGAAUUCUAAGAAAAGCAAGGAAGCUAACAUUAAAAGUCUCCUACUUACUUCGUAAGCUUCGGUUCCGUGCGUUCGUUCAAUGGGGCCUUUCCUGUCAUGAGUGCAGUAUGAUCCAUUGCUCUCCAUUUUGUCAAUUUUUAGAAGGUUCUGGUGUGACUUUUAUCUAUGGCAUUUUGUGGGUCAUCUCUCUCUGAUUUACUUUCUGAUUCCUUCUUCAGGAAUGCAACCCUUGAUUACAACAUUACUACAGAGGGAGGCUCUGAUUCGUUUGGGGGCAUGUUCCCCAGGAUCGAAAGUCGUGUUGUUUCCAUGAAGAAAGACAAACUGCUUCGUGUAUUGUUCGACUAGGCGAAGCUCUCUAGACCUGGAAGCGGCCAUCAUGCCCUGGGGCCUUCCCCACUUCGCAGUCCGCACUUGCCUCCUGCUGGUGAGGCUGCUGAGGACGCAUGUCCUCCUUUCUGCAUCUCCUCUCUGUCCUGUCAGGCAACGUGACAUUGUUUUCUUUUUUUUUUUAAUUUUUAUUUAUUUAUGAUAGUUACAGAGAGAGAGAGAGGCAGAGACACAGGCAGAGGGAGAAGCAGGCUCCAUGCACCGGGAGCCCGACGUGGGAUUCGAUCCUGGGUCUCCAGGAUCGCGCCCUGGGCCAAAGGCAGGCGCCAAACCGCUGCGCCACCCAGGGAUCCCUGUGACAUUGUUUUCUGCUCCUCGCUUUGUGCUCCUGGCUCUUUGUGGGCCCCACUGAUCUAAAGAUGCUUAAUUUACUAAUAGAUUCUUUGUGUAACUCUUCCUUUUCCCUUGGGUUUCCUUCUUCUGUUCUUGUUCCUCAUUUCUCGGCAGGUUGUGAGAUGUAGGAAAAGCUUGCACCUUUAUAAAACCUUUUUAAGUUGUUUGGCAUUCCUAUUGAAUUCACCAUCACUCUUCCAUUUCUUUUUCUUUUUUUUUUUACUAUUUAUUUAUUUAUUUAUUUAUUUAUUUAUUUAUUUAUUUAUUUAUUUAUUUAUUUAUUUAUUUAUAAGAGAGGCAGAGACACAGGCAGAGGGAGAAGCAGGCUCCCUGGGAUUCCUGGGAUCACGCCCUGAGCCGAAGGCAGAUGCUCAACCGCUGAGCACUGAGUCCCUGCUCUUCCGUUUCUAAAGAACUAAAUUUCCUGACAUGAAAACCUCCUCUUUCUGAAGUCCUGGAUCACUUUGUAGGUUUUCCGCGUCCUCGUGCAUGUUCUACCCUUGUUAGUUUACACCUGUUCUCUAGCAGACUGCUCUCCCUGAGACCAGGGCGAGUGUCUUUCUCCCUAGCGUGCCCACAGCGCUGACCGAAUGCACCGACGUAUACGUGGCCAAAUGUGUGUUGGGGGUAUUCUUUAAUGUUCAAAAUAGCAUUAUGAUUUGGUUUUAUUUGAGCCUUUGAGGAUACCCAUAAGCAUUGGUUUGUUUAAUUGCCACCGAUCCAAGAGUGUGUGUCCCUCUGUUUCUGACUUUGGAAUCUAAAAACAGAGGAGAUUGAGCUUGGUACUCUUUAAAGGCCUUUAAUCCCUGUGACUUUUCCCCUUAGAUUGAUUAAGCACCCCUUGAGUGCCUGGUCUAGAUAUCCUGUUAUAUUGUGCAGGGAAGAGAAAUACAGUGUACAGUUCAGAUGUGAAGACAAAGCAAGUACACAAAACAGUAAUUAGAGGCAGUGCCAUCAUAACGUACAGAUUAACUAUCAGACAGAUAGUGAUUCCAUGUAUUGGUCUUAUGCAAAAAAGCACCCAAGGAUGUUUGUCUAAAACGGGAACAUAAGGUGCCUAGGAGUGAUUUUACAUUUUUUUUGUACACUAACUUUUUUAGAGAAGGAAGAAGAGUAAUCAGAGGAAACAAGCCUCGUACAACAGGAUAUUGCUUUUAUAUGGAUGUUUUUACUUUUUAGUCUGUUAGGACCUAACCUAUGCUUUCUUUGUGUGCUUAUUGUUUUCCUUUCAGAACACCUUCUGUCCCCAGCAAGACUGGCAAAAGUUACCUUAGGGUUGGGCUUUGGGGGCACCCUUGAUGGAUUCCUCUAGCUCAUUCUUAAUGUUAUUGCAGAUAAGAUUUAAUAUUUUAUUACUUUCAAGUACAAAUGGGAAUUUCAACAUCUGCCUAAGAGUAGUACCAGAUGAGAUCCUGAAUGUCCUGCUUUAAUGAAUAGAUAUGUUUUAUUUAAAAUUAAGACCCAUUUGCAUAAUAAGGUAUGCCACUGACCUUUAAAAAUCUCUUAGUAGCUUAAACAUGCCACUAGACAGUAUUUACUAUAGUAAUAUACUGACUCUUUAAAAAUUCAUAGAUGGGAUAAACUUCCACUCACUGAAAUAAUGAUAAAUUCAGAAUAGUCCUAGACACCAAAUUUGAAUGUUUCCUUAAGUAAACUUUAAACUACCGCUUGAAUAAGUACCACGGCCUCUGUGCAGAAGGCAGUUAACAUAGCAGGUGCAAGACUGCCAUCUUUAGAAAGACCUGCUUGCAUGGUUGGCCUUAGGAAACUCAGCUUCUCAGAAGUUUCCCAAGCUGGUAAAAGCUGGGACACCAGACCUUAUACAUAUAUUGUUUGUGUAAAUGAUGUGAUUUAUGGCAAAUACUUGAUUUCCUUCUGGUUAGGAAUUUUGGUAUUUGCUAGGCCAGCCUGCCUAUGUGACUAGCCCCCAAUAAAAAUCUUGGGUGCUGAGUCUCUAAUGGACUUGUCUAGGUAGAAGCACUAUACAAAUGUGGCUGCAUUUUUUCUGCCAGAAAAGGAACACAUUCAGUGUAUCCCUCGCAGGCGGGGAAGGAAAGCCUAUGAAGGAAGCCUGUGCAUGGAUUUCCUCACACUCUGCCUGUAUCUUUUUCCUUUGCUGGUCUUGUCAUAUACCCUUUGGUAUAAUAAAUCAAGCCUAA
This 3851-nucleotide long non-coding RNA is filed under the name Canis lupus familiaris (dog). Its description in RNAcentral is "lncRNA (ENSCAFG00845030297.1)". Lineage: Eukaryota; Metazoa; Chordata; Mammalia; Carnivora; Canidae. The record is from RNAcentral.